ACCGCGAAAAUAUGCCGCGCAAAAGGCGUUAUUUAUAUUCGAACGCAAGGCAUAUAUGUUGUUGUCGAAAGAACGUUUCGAAGGAUGCACCGGCUUUUUGCGUUGUAUUUCAUUAAUCGCGGUCGCGAUAGUUAACGUGUCACCAGUAGAAUGCGUGGAUUUUCGUGUUUUACGUUUAUGACUUUCGCAGGAAAAAGCGUUCAGGACGAGGUACGAAGGAUGAAGGAUGAAAUCAGGUUGGCACGUUUGUUGGGUGCAGCUUAAAUUACAACAAAAGCGCAUCAGGACGAGAGAUGAAGGACGAAGGACGAAGGACGAAGGACGAAGGACGAAAUCAGGCUGGCACGUUCGUCGGGCGCAGCUUGGUGUUGAGUGCCAAAGUGAAGAAACAAAGAAGAAAUAAAAAAAUCAGGAUUGAGAAGAAAGCGCAAGGAUUCACUAGGAAACAGCGGAGCAGCCAUGUGAUCAACGUAAUUAGUCCAACUCUACUGCAACUCCCUGUGCAUCGUAUUGUCGCAAUUGCAUCGACAGCGGUGGUGGCUGUAGGCUACCUGCGGUCUUUGAUAGCGGAUCCGACGACAGCUACCUCCGGAAAAGUCUGGGUAGUGAAAUAGCCGGCCGUAUAAAGCGACGUCGGAUCACGGUGGAUUUGUAUGGCAAGAGAAAGAGAAACAGGAAAACAGACGCGUGAAAGACUGAACGGAAGGCCGCGAAGAGAUUUCUCGCGAGACGACCCGGGACGAGACGUGGAAAAUUGUGGUGGCAGCCGCUCGCGUUAUUCGGAUGCCGCGCGUGCCUCGGAAGUUUAAUUUCGAAUCGUAUUAUAUCCGGUGCGCGCGCUACAGGCAUGAGCUACGGAGCAAGAGAGAACCAAAACGAGAAAGAGAAAGAGGUAGAGGAAGGGAAGUGGAGAUCUAAGGGGGUAUAAAAGAGAAGGAGACUCCAAGAUAGAAGAGCGAAAGGAGAGGCGAGGGGGAGAGGGAGGGGGAGGGGCGAGGAAGGAUGCUGAGAGGAAGAGGCAGGGAGGGCGGGGAGGCUGGAGGAUUUGCAGUCGGGCAAGCAGUCAAGCGAACAGCCAGCCAGUCGGCCAACCCCCCAUCGGAGGGUCGAGAAGCGUAAGGGUGAGCGGGAAGACGGAUAGAUCUUAGGAUCGAAGGGAAAGCAGAAGGAAGACGGAGAGAAAACGAGAAAGAGGGAGAAAGGGAGAGGAACGGCCCAAACUCUGUGCGGACCACGUCUGUGGAAACCGUUGAUCGAGAGGGGGCUGGAAAAGGAUAAGAGGCUCGGGGGAAGAGGAGAGAAGGCUGAGAUGAGGCCGCGACUGCGGCGGUACCGUCGGCGGUGCUGCACAUCUCGAGAGCGGGGGAUGAGUAUGAGCGCGAAGGGAUGCACUGUGCGAGAGGUAGGUAGAGAGUAGAGAGCGGGAGAGGAGAAAGACACGGGGAAGAAGAUGGCCGCGAGGGGGGAGGGAGCCCUGGAAGUCGCUCGAGAAACUUUGGGAAUCGCCGAGGUGUUCUCGGUUUUCACUUACAAGGGGGUUGAAUGUUGGCCGCGGCACGCUCGGGUGGACGGAGUUGCCGGCGCGGCGCGGCGGCGGUUGCUUGAGAACUGCCGGAUUCUCGAGCGUUAUCAUCGCGGAACAACAACAAUCUGACGAUCCUACGCUCGUUUAUGGGACUUUGAGGGUGGUUUUGGAAGUGUUUGCGAGUUGUCGCGACGAUACGGAAAGGAUCAGAGAAGGGUUGCGCGUUUCUCAUCCCAGAUGUAAUCCAUUGGAUUUCCGAGCAAACUGUGGGCCUGAAAGAUUUUUUAGCCUUCUACCGUGUGUAGUAAAUUUCAUAUUUCGAUCAUUCUACACAAAAUGGAAUGUUGAUCACAACAAUCUUCGACGGGCAGAAGUUCUGAGUAAAGAAUAUAAAAGCGUCCCUCUCUUUGAAGCGAAUCGCUUAUAAUGUACGUCUGAUGCAUUAUUGAUUACAUUUUAUCAGGAAGAGAGAAAAGAGGAUUCUUCGUUCUUACUUUGCGAUGUAAAAGGGAGCAUCGUAUAAACUGAUGCGGCGAAAACAAUAAGAACGCGGAUCGAAAACGCGGAUGUUGGAAUAAUGCCGAAGUUCGUGGCGUGUAUAUAAUAGAAGCUUAUAGACGGGGAGACGCACGUCGAAUCUAACGACAUUCUAUUAAUUAUCAUACGUUAAUGUCCGGGCGUCUCGCGCAUGUCGGGAAAACAAUACGAGGUACGCGACGUUUAUGAUAGGCACUGCUAAUGAUGGCGCAAGAAACGCCAGCGGGUUUAAUGCAUGCCCUCCCACAGGAAUGUUUAACGUAAGAGCGACAAGCAACGCGAUUAAUGACGAUAGUUGAGAAGAGGAUGCCGUUAUUACGGGAGUUUCUCUUGUACUUGUAACGCUUGAAAACGAUAUUCCACUGUUGCGUGCUUUGACUGUUAUGCGUGCCGAGGCGGCAUCAUGCAAAGGUGUUAUUAAUAAUUUGUCUUUGGUAAGAGUAAACUCUUGAUGUGUUUAGUAAAAACAUUUGCGAUGAAUCUUGUUUAAUUUUGCGUAUUAUUAUGUGUAAAUAUGAAACUAAUGAUAUUAAUAUAAAUAUGUAAAAAUGAAAACACUGAUGAUAUUUAAAACAUGGUCAUACAAGUGUACUCGUUAUACAGAUAUUGCUUGUUCUUUUUAGAAAAAAAAUUGUAUCAGUAUAAUAAGUGUAAUACUUAUAUUAAUGACAUAUUAGUUACGGUAACACAAUAAUCGUAGAAAUAACAAUGUACUAUAAAAACAGAAACGCGAAACGUUUGUAUAUGAAAUUUUAACGUAGCCUGUAUAAAAUUUCAUGGAUUAGUGUUUUACGUUAUUUAUUUUAUUAGUUAAAAAAACAUUUGAUAAAAAACACAUUUUCUUUUAAAGGAAUAAAAAAAAUUUGAUAUAACCGGCAAUUUAUUUUGAAGUUAAUUUACAAUAAAAAACAGGUAGUUAUAACUGUUAUUCCCGAGAGUCGAUAUUAUUCGCGCGCGUAUAAGUUAUUUUUAUUAAAAUUUCGGAUAAUCAAUAAAAAAUAGAAAUGCCCGUUAGGUUGCAUAUUAAAAAUAGUUUAUAACGCUAAAUAACUUGGUACAAUAGAAUUUACGAACUGUGUAAAAGCCAUACGUUUUAUUUAUAAAAUUAUAUAAUAUAGUUAUGUAGAAUUAUAUAAUAAAUUAUUCAAUAAACAAAUGCAACAUUUGUUUACAAAUAAAUGUCUACCAAGAUUAUUGAUUAUAAUAACCUCACGUGAAAGAACUCUCUACAUAAUCAUGCUAAGUUUGCGGAAGUCUCGCAAAAUUAUAACGAGAAAGGUGACGGUCAACAACGCGUUACAGCGAAUCUCCAACAGGCAUGAUAAAUAGGAGGGUCGAAAUCCCAGUUUUAUCCUAAGGCAGGCUAAUGCAAAUGAAAGGAUGCAUCGCGAACAACAGAGGUAAAAUAUGCGAAACAGGAAAGUAAACCGUAGAAGUCGCCGCCUUGAUUCACUUUACUACCACAAAUAAUGAAUGAUGGUAUCGAAGAAAGGAUUUUUCUUGGCGGAAUAAAAUUUCAAUGAUUUUUUUCAACAAUAUUCAAACUUGAGAACGCGAAAGCGUUUCUAUCGUAAAUGGCGAAAUUUAUUUUACAUUUCUACUUUAUUCUACGGUUUUCUUGGUAAAAUUAAUGUUCAUUGUUACAAGAUAAAAUAGAAUAACUGCGUCGAAUAUCUUCAUUUGCUACAACGUCUUGCGGAAGGAUUUCUGCAGACCGUAUCGUAACAUUUUCGUACGACUUAUGUCUUAAUUAACGCUCAGUUUCCGAGGUGGUACGAUUCCACUAAACGACGGCGGCGCGACCAAUCGACUUCUAAAGGACUCAAUAAGGAAACCAUACGAACACCUCCGCGCAACUCAUCCAAUCCCUUGAAUUGGCGCAAUAAAAGUAAAAUACGUGGUAAAAGGGCAGAGACGCUAAUAGACAAUUUGGAAAGUAUUCUCGAGGAUGACACGCGACAAGACGACAUUUGAAUAAUCCCAUGGAGGAGAAAGGGAGAACGACAAAGGAUACGAGGGCGAGAAGGGAGGUGGAGGGAAAUUGAGGGCGAGAGAUGAGGGAGGUAGGCAGGGGGAAAACGCAAUAUGCCUCGACUGAAAAUUGGGCGGCCGGGUUCACAUCCCUGGAUAUGUCUAGCAGAUAGUUUGUCCUUGACUGCUUAAUUAAUUUUACUCCCGCGCUCAGAAACGGACGGGGAAUCGUGCUCUACGUACGUCUUGUUUGAAGACCCGACCCAUAAAUUUGUAGCCCGAGUGCUUCGUGCCGCUGACAACGUAAAUUCCGGCUCUCGUGCAAAAUUGCGAAAUUUGACUUCCGCCGUGACUUCGUGACAUGUCUUCGUUUGUACGAGACGCGACUUUGGGCGGCCGAAUAUUGAGAUAAUGCAGUGACUACUUUUUCAACACACACACACACAUACUGAAUAUUCGGGACAUAAUAAAUGUGCGCCACACUGUCACUUAGCAAACCGUAAAGAAUAGUUACACAAAUUAAUUGUAACGGAUAUUUUGACAGUUUUUCCUAUAUUUAAAUUAAUCGAAUCGAAUUAUCUGCGUGGGCACUUUUUAGAAAUAAUAUGAAUAUUAUUAAAAAGUGUCAAAUCUAAUUCGAGACACAGAAAGAUUUUAAUGCGCGGCUUCAUUUUUUUAUUGUCUCCAAUAAACAGUAGACAGUUUAAACGUUUAUGUUAUUCGAUAUUUCUUAACCGGACACUUUAUGUAUGAGAAACUUCGCUCGAAGGAAGAAAAUAAGAAAUAAUGCAUUUUAGUCUUUGUGUAAAAGUUAUAUUCAUACAGACAUAAAUGGGAAAAACGAGAGUAAUAUUUAUAGAAUUAUCGGAGUGCCAUUUUAUUUUUGCAAUGGUUUUUCUUAUAACGUUUGAGUGAUAUCGACAGUCGCGUCAAAAACUGUGACGGUAUAAUUCAUCUCAGGAAGCUAAAAGCUUUGCCAAUAAUAAUCGAAUUCGAUUAAGGUUCUUAUCAAUUGUGAUUGUAUAAGCCUCAGUGUAUUGUCUUUAUUUUCGAACAUGUGACGUAAUACGGAAAUCAAUAAUUAAUUAUAACGUAAAUCCAAGAAAAAGUACCUUUGAAUAUUACCUGAUUAUAUAUAUAGUAAAACCAAACGUUAAAUAAAACU
Molecule: RNA transcript, 5198 nt
Organism: Solenopsis invicta (red fire ant)
Lineage: Eukaryota; Metazoa; Arthropoda; Insecta; Hymenoptera; Formicidae
Exons: 7
Source: RefSeq, a predicted model, not a curated record